AGACGAUGGGGAUGCGUUCCAUUAGAUAGUAGGCGGGGUAACGGCCCACCUAGUCUUCGAUGGAUAGGGGUUCUGAGAGGAAGGUCCCCCACAUUGGAACUGAGACACGGUCCAAACUCCUACGGGAGGCAGCAGUGAGGAAUAUUGGUCAAUGGGCGAGAGCCUGAACCAGCCAAGUAGCGUGAAGGAUGACUGCCCUAUGGGUUGUAAACUUCUUUUAUAAAGGAAUAAAGUCGGGUAUGGAUACCCGUUUGCAUGUACUUUAUGAAUAAGGAUCGGCUAACUCCGUGCCAGCAGCCGCGGUAAUACGGAGGAUCCGAGCGUUAUCCGGAUUUAUUGGGUUUAAAGGGAGCGUAGAUGGAUGUUUAAGUCAGUUGUGAAAGUUUGCGGCUCAACCGUAAAAUUGCAGUUGAUACUGGAUAUCUUGAGUGCAGUUGAGGCAGGCGGAAUUCGUGGUGUAGCGGUGAAAUGCUUAGAUAUCACGAAGAACUCCGAUUGCGAAGGCAGCCUGCUAAGCUGCAACUGACAUUGAGGCUCGAAAGUGUGGGUAUCAAACAGGAUUAGAUACCCUGGUAGUCCACACGGUAAACGAUGAAUACUCGCUGUUUGCGAUAUACGGCAA
Molecule: ribosomal RNA, 622 nt
Filed under: uncultured bacterium
Lineage: Bacteria
Description: bacterial SSU rRNA
Rfam family: Bacterial small subunit ribosomal RNA
Source: RNAcentral